Long non-coding RNA from Piliocolobus tephrosceles (Ugandan red Colobus), 1539 nucleotides. RefSeq lists it as uncharacterized. The transcript is spliced from 3 exons. NCBI's taxonomy places the organism in Eukaryota, Metazoa, Chordata, Mammalia, Primates, Cercopithecidae. The record is from RefSeq and is a predicted model, not a curated record.
UUCCCAUCGAUUGGCGAGAGAAUCUAACAAAUACACAGAGGAGAUGGAGCAUAAAAUUGGGCGGACUGACUCAGAGCACUAAAUGGAGAGAAAUGCUCAAUUAUUGUGGGAUUUGCCCAGAGGAGCAGCCUCAGGAACUGAAGGGGAUCCUGUCCUGUCCCUCCCAGAGGAAGGCUCACGAUUGGAUUGGAACUUCUAGCGACUGCCUGAGCGUGUCCUCCGGGCCAUGGGGAAACAGAGGCAGAGAGACUCGGGAAGGAGAAAUGGAGAACCCAGGGCAACGCAGUCGGUGCUGAAGCGCCAUCCCUUUUUCACUGAUACCCCUCUGGGCCCCGGGGCCGGAAGCCCUUCGCACACUCCAGCCCCGGGCAGUCCAGGCUGGGUUCCCAGCGCCCGUGGCUCUGUGGCCGGGAGGCUCCUUGCUCUCGCCCGCGUGGUCCUGAGAUCUGUAGCUCGCUCCCACAGGCCCCGGGAUUGGCUGCACCACGCAGCUGUCGUCCAGUUCCGGAGCUGCCGUGUUCAAUCCGAUUCCCUCUGAUGCUUUCACUGAUAUUAAAAUUUCCCUUUUCGAACUGACCUUUUAUUUAUUUUUUUUAACGCAGUCAUUUUUGGGAGGCAACAACUCGAACAUCCUGUAUCUGUAAUCAGAUAAUCUCACUCCUGCUUUUGUAUUCCUGCAGCUUUAAACUCUGCAAAUAUUUGUGUCCUUCACCAAAAAAGGCGUUCCUCAGUCUACCUCCAACCUCGCCGGGCAACUUAUCUUUCCCGAGCUCACAGUCUGACUCCGGGUCUCUUAGUCUCUUGUGCUCUUGAAGCAAUUCAGCAGAAAAGACACGGUUUUGGUUUUGGUUUGGGGUGACUAGUAGUGGGGUUUUUACCCCCUUGAUGUUUGGGGGAUUUGUGCUUGUUUUAUUACUAUUUUUGUUGUUUCCUGCAGUCAAGGAAAACUGUCGGUGUUACAAGCAAACUUACUGUCACCAGCCUCAGGGACGUGAGUUCCAGUUCUGGACACUUCAUUUUCUCUCUCUCUGGUCUUCCCUGGCCCACGUUCAGUUUCUUAACUGUCCUUGUCCUUGAUCUUUUCCCGAAAUGCCUGGACCCUCGCCUUAGUCUCUGCUCCGAUUUGCCCCCUUUCUUUAAUUUGUCUUGUGUGUUAGCGCUGGGUCAGCGCGCCCUUUGUGCUGAGGUCCUGGGCCGGUGAGUGUGUGCGUGCGUGCAUGUGUGUGUGUGCGUGUGCGUGUGUGUGUUGCAGUGUGUGUUUCUUUUGUUAUUUUCUCCCCUAACACCGAAGAAAUGAAACACACAUGCAGCUCUGUCGCCUCGUAUAUUCAGAUGUUUUUCACACUAUUGUCUGCUCCAGCCCGUUGAAAGUGCAAAGUGAAAACAGAUGCAUCCGAAAAAAAUUUUUUGAAAGGGGACAAUCCUAGGAUGGAGACUAACCCCUCGAAUACAGAUAAGCAAUAAAUAUUGUAUCAGAUUUAUAACGUGAAUCGAGCAGUCUUGAUUAGCACCAAGGUGAGCUUUGGUGAGAUUUUUAUC